Molecule: ribosomal RNA, 433 nt
Filed under: uncultured bacterium
Lineage: Bacteria
Description: partial 16S ribosomal RNA
Rfam family: Bacterial small subunit ribosomal RNA
Source: RNAcentral
AACGAACGCUGGCGGCAUGCCUAACACAUGCAAGUCGAACGAGACCUUCGGGUCUAGUGGCGCACGGGUGCGUAACGCGUGGGAACCUGCCCUUAGGUUCGGAAUAACUCCCCGAAAGGGGUGCUAAUACCGGAUAAUGUCUUCGGACCAAAGAUUUAUCGCCUUUGGAUGGGCCCGCGUUGGAUUAGCUAGUUGGUAGGGUAAAAGCCUACCAAGGCGACGAUCCAUAGCUGGUCUGAGAGGAUGAUCAGCCACACUGGGACUGAGACACGGCCCAGACUAGUACGGGAGGCAGCAGUGGGGAAUAUUGGACAAUGGGGGAAAGCCUGAUCAAGCAAUGCCGCGUGAGUGAUGAAGGCCUUAGGGUUGUAAAGCUCUUUUAACCGGGAUGAUAAUGACAGUACCGGGAGAAUAAGCUCCGGCUAACUCCGUG